Molecule: ribosomal RNA, 253 nt
Filed under: uncultured bacterium
Lineage: Bacteria
Description: partial 16S ribosomal RNA
Rfam family: Bacterial small subunit ribosomal RNA
Source: RNAcentral
UACGAAGGGUGCAAGCGUUACUCGGAAUUAUUGGGCGUAAAGGGCGCGUAGGCGGCCCGCUAAGUCGAACGUGAAAUCCCCGAGCUCAACUCGGGAACUGCGUCCGAUACUGGCGGGCUUGAAUCCGGGAGAGGGAUGCGGAAUUCCAGGUGUAGCGGUGAAAUGCGUAGAUAUCUGGAGGAACACCGGUGGCGAAGGCGGCAUCCUGGACCGGCAUUGACGCUGAGGCGCGAAAGCUAGGGGAGCAAACGGG